Molecule: long non-coding RNA, 292 nt
Filed under: Elaeis guineensis (African oil palm)
Lineage: Eukaryota; Viridiplantae; Streptophyta; Magnoliopsida; Arecales; Arecaceae
Description: long non-coding RNA (EGUI_LNC059859)
Source: RNAcentral
AGGUUGAGGAAUCGUCAAGCCUAUUUUCAAUUCUAACAAUAUCAUUUUAGUGAUUGUCACUAUUGUCUAAUGAUUUUGUGAUAUCAUUAUGAAUGAUGUCAAAAUCAUGUGGAUAAUUAAGAAAUGACAUUUACAUAGUCUGUUAGUUUACUAUACACAACAAACAAACUCCUUAGAGUAGAUAAUAUUAUGGAAGCCUAUCUUUGGCAAUUAAGGCUCGAUCAUAUAAAUAAGAAUAGGAUCAAUAAGAGAUAAUUCUCGAAGUCAAUCAUUGUGAAUCAUUGUCAACCUA